Molecule: ribosomal RNA, 1554 nt
Filed under: Klebsiella pneumoniae KCTC 2242
Lineage: Bacteria; Pseudomonadati; Pseudomonadota; Gammaproteobacteria; Enterobacterales; Enterobacteriaceae
Description: bacterial SSU rRNA
Rfam family: Bacterial small subunit ribosomal RNA
Source: RNAcentral
ACUUAAAUUGAAGAGUUUGAUCAUGGCUCAGAUUGAACGCUGGCGGCAGGCCUAACACAUGCAAGUCGAGCGGUAGCACAGAGAGCUUGCUCUCGGGUGACGAGCGGCGGACGGGUGAGUAAUGUCUGGGAAACUGCCUGAUGGAGGGGGAUAACUACUGGAAACGGUAGCUAAUACCGCAUAAUGUCGCAAGACCAAAGUGGGGGACCUUCGGGCCUCAUGCCAUCAGAUGUGCCCAGAUGGGAUUAGCUAGUAGGUGGGGUAACGGCUCACCUAGGCGACGAUCCCUAGCUGGUCUGAGAGGAUGACCAGCCACACUGGAACUGAGACACGGUCCAGACUCCUACGGGAGGCAGCAGUGGGGAAUAUUGCACAAUGGGCGCAAGCCUGAUGCAGCCAUGCCGCGUGUGUGAAGAAGGCCUUCGGGUUGUAAAGCACUUUCAGCGGGGAGGAAGGCGAUAAGGUUAAUAACCUUGUCGAUUGACGUUACCCGCAGAAGAAGCACCGGCUAACUCCGUGCCAGCAGCCGCGGUAAUACGGAGGGUGCAAGCGUUAAUCGGAAUUACUGGGCGUAAAGCGCACGCAGGCGGUCUGUCAAGUCGGAUGUGAAAUCCCCGGGCUUAACCUGGGAACUGCAUUCGAAACUGGCAGGCUAGAGUCUUGUAGAGGGGGGUAGAAUUCCAGGUGUAGCGGUGAAAUGCGUAGAGAUCUGGAGGAAUACCGGUGGCGAAGGCGGCCCCCUGGACAAAGACUGACGCUCAGGUGCGAAAGCGUGGGGAGCAAACAGGAUUAGAUACCCUGGUAGUCCACGCCGUAAACGAUGUCGAUUUGGAGGUUGUGCCCUUGAGGCGUGGCUUCCGGAGCUAACGCGUUAAAUCGACCGCCUGGGGAGUACGGCCGCAAGGUUAAAACUCAAAUGAAUUGACGGGGGCCCGCACAAGCGGUGGAGCAUGUGGUUUAAUUCGAUGCAACGCGAAGAACCUUACCUGGUCUUGACAUCCACAGAACUUUCCAGAGAUGGAUUGGUGCCUUCGGGAACUGUGAGACAGGUGCUGCAUGGCUGUCGUCAGCUCGUGUUGUGAAAUGUUGGGUUAAGUCCCGCAACGAGCGCAACCCUUAUCCUUUGUUGCCAGCGGUCCGGCCGGGAACUCAAAGGAGACUGCCAGUGAUAAACUGGAGGAAGGUGGGGAUGACGUCAAGUCAUCAUGGCCCUUACGACCAGGGCUACACACGUGCUACAAUGGCAUAUACAAAGAGAAGCGACCUCGCGAGAGCAAGCGGACCUCAUAAAGUAUGUCGUAGUCCGGAUUGGAGUCUGCAACUCGACUCCAUGAAGUCGGAAUCGCUAGUAAUCGUAGAUCAGAAUGCUACGGUGAAUACGUUCCCGGGCCUUGUACACACCGCCCGUCACACCAUGGGAGUGGGUUGCAAAAGAAGUAGGUAGCUUAACCUUCGGGAGGGCGCUUACCACUUUGUGAUUCAUGACUGGGGUGAAGUCGUAACAAGGUAACCGUAGGGGAACCUGCGGUUGGAUCACCUCCUUACCUUAAAGAA